UGGAUGCGAAUAAAGAUAGAGUCCUGUUUUACAUGUCAAUAUCGACAACAAUGAAAUUUAUAGU
Molecule: transfer RNA, 64 nt
Filed under: Nanocnide japonica
Lineage: Eukaryota; Viridiplantae; Streptophyta; Magnoliopsida; Rosales; Urticaceae
Description: partial tRNA-Leu
Source: RNAcentral